RNAcentral lists this long non-coding RNA (6446 nucleotides) under Sus scrofa (pig). Its description in RNAcentral is "lncRNA (ENSSSCG00050002987.1)". Lineage: Eukaryota; Metazoa; Chordata; Mammalia; Artiodactyla; Suidae. The record is from RNAcentral.
UUUUUUUUUUUUUUUUGGCUUUUUGCUAUUUCUUGGGCUGCUCCCGCAGCAUAUGGAGAUUCCCAGGCUAGGGUCGAAUCGGAGAUGUAGCCACCGGCCUACGCCAGAGCCACAGCAACGCGGGAUCCGAGCCGAGUCUGCAACCUACACCACAGCUCACAGCAACGCCGAUCGUUAACCCACUGAGCAAGGGCAGGGACCGAACCCGCAACCUCAUGGUUCCCAGUCGGAUUCGUCAAUCACUGCACCACGAUGGGAACUCCUAUCUCCAACAUGUUUUCUAACGCAGCGAGCCCCCCUCAUAACCUGGCCCGUCUUCACCUUGCGGGUCUGGCUGGCUUCAUUCCCGUGGUGUCACUGAACAUGUUCACCUCUCUACUGUGUUUCCCGAAAGUAGGUGGUUACCUCCUGGAGGCCUGAUCAGAUUCAGACUCAAUAUUGUCGCCAAGAGACCAUUUCCCUUAGGAAACACCAACGUCUGCUGUCUUCCCUUUUUCACGACAUUAGCGACCAAUGUCCUAAGAAGGUCAUGGCCAUUGCCUAGGUCCACUCAUGAAGUCAGAGUUGAGAAUACAUGAUAGUCUAUCAUUUCUUCAGACAGUCUUGACAUUCUUCGUUUCUUCACCACCACUGUGAUAGUUGUGGCGUCGGCCUCCUCUGCAGCUCCAAUUCAACCCCUCGCCUGGGGACUUCAUAAGCCAUAGGUGUGGUCAUAAAAAGGAUAAACAAAGCAAACAAACAAACAAAAAAGAGUGGUUCCUAUCACCUUUGAAAGGAGACCAGUAAGUCAUUUUGAGUUCUCCUAUCAUUAGGUACUUGUGGACAUAGACAUAUGUGAUGUGUUUCAAUCCAUUAAAGUAACUAGUCCAAUUGUGAUGCUAAAAUUGUCUCAUCUUUGGCCUAUUGAUGUUGGCAUCUCUAAAUGACAUGAUCCUAACAGCACCAGAUAACAUCCUUGCUUUUUGAUAUAAUAAGAUCUUAUAGAUUUAUCUGGUAUACUUCCUGUUCCAGACAUGGAAUCAACCAUUUCCCAAGGAGGCUUGGUUGCAUUUGCUGGAAAAUGGUAAUUAGAGAUCCUAAUCUAUUUGCUAAGGAAGCUCAUGGCUAUUGGGUUGGUCCGUAUUUCCGGGCCUUUUUAAUAGAAACAGAACACAUGAAUUUUUAAGCUGAAAUACAUAAUGGAUUUAUACUAACAAUGCUACUUCCAAUUCUGGGCUAUAACAUUUUUAAUUAACCUCCCUGAUCUUAUAUCUGUGGUUUUUUCCCUCCCACACCUUAAAAUUCUAAUUUUCCUAAAAACUGACACAAUUACUCAUUUGUUUUAUCUCUCAAUACACACAACAAUAGCAAUAACAAUACCAACACUACUUCCAACAAAAGCAUUACGGAAAAACGUUACAUUUUUCUGUUUCAUUUUUUUUUUUUAAAUCACCAUUAAAAUGUACCCAGGAAUGGAUGCAGUCAAAUUACUGCAUUUUAAAGUCACUGGGGACAGUUCCUCUCUGGGAGUUACGGCCAUUACCUGAGUAGACAUUUAGGUUCAAUUGUUUCCCUAACUUUUGAAUUUUAUUUUAUUAUUUAUUUAUUUUGCUUUUUUAGGAACACACCUACAGCACAUGGAGGUUCCCAGGCUAGGGGUCAAGUCGGAGCUACUGCUGCUGGCCUACACCACGGCCACAGCAAUGCGGAUGCGACCUGUGUCUGUGACCUACACCACAGCUCAUGGCAACACCGGAUCCUUAACCUACUGAGCAAGGCUAGGGAUCAAACCUGCGUCCUCAUGGAUACUAGUCAGAUUUGUUUCCGUUGAGCCACUACAGAACUCUAGACUUUUGAGUUUUAUAAUUGCCUUGUUAUCUAGUUUUAUUUUCUAAUUUUAUGGAACAAGGCUUAUUCAAAAAAGCCUACUUCUUCCUCUUUCUCUUGUUCCUCACUUCUCACUUUAGGUAACUAUGUCAGAUUAUAUUUUCUAGAAAUGGCCACAGCAAUAUUUUUAGUUGUACAUGUCUUCUCGACCUCACCACUUCCUCUCUAAGAGGUGAAGUCUGCUCUGCUCUCACCUUACUUGAACCUGGGUGGGCCCUAUAACUGUCUGAAAAAGAGGAAUGUGGCAAAAGUGACACUGUGUGACUUCUGAGAUGAAACAUAAAAGGUAAUACUGCUUGAGCUGCUUCACUCUCAGGAAAGACACCGUUGGGGUCCUGAGGGAACCUGUGAGAAGACCAGGUACCCAGAGGCCUCCAAGCUGGAGAGACCACAGAGAGAAAGACAGAGCCUCCAGGGAGCCCAGCCCUGCCAGUCCCAUCCUGAGCUGACGGAGUCUUCUACUCCUGACUGGGUCAUGUGAGGAAGCAAGCUUCCAGACGAUCUGAAUGAUCCCAGCCUCAACUGCUCACUGCAAGCCUGGCGAGACCCACGGAGCUAAGCCCAGACGAUCCUAGACCCUGAGAGAUACUGCUGUUACCUACAGCCACUAAUUUUGUCAAACAGUAAUAGAUAAUUGGAAAGUAUACUAACUUUAAAAAAAAUGCUAUGGUUUAUCCUAGCUUUUCUAAGAAAAAAAAGUAAAUUUAUAUAUAAACCUAGUUUCACAUCCGUCUGUGGAUAGAUAGUAGCACACUACACACUUUUCUCCAUCUUUCUUUUUUAUUUUCCUUUCAACAGUAUAUCUAGGAGUUAUUCUAAAAUAAUCUAUAGCCAUACCCCUUAUCUCUUUUCAGAGCUGCAUAGCACUCAUCUGUGCAGGAGUUCCAUUAUUUAUUCAACAAAUGCCUUUUGGAUAAAAUCAGGAUGCUUCAAGGUUUGCUUAUUUGCAAAUAUCACUGUAAGAAUAACCUGUGUUCUCUUCUAAUCACAGGGUUAGGCUAAUGUCUCUAGAAGUUCAAACGAGUUAAUUUAUGUAAAGUUCUUGAACCAGUGCCUGCGACAGACUAAGCACUCAGCAAACAUGAGCUAGAGAUAUCAUGAAAGAAAAGCCCUUUGGUUUUGUGGAUGGGAGCCAAGUCAGUGAAAAAUGUUGCUCACACCACUGGUGCUGUGAACCCCAGUUGAGGGGGCACAGAUGGUCUGAAGGAAGCAGAGGCUCACUGGAACCCGGCUUCUUCCCUCCUCCUGAAAUGAUUCCUCCCACUUGGCCACUUGGCUCUCUAGACCAUCCACUUCAUUCAGGAGGCAGGGCAAGUAUUUCUUCUCUAGGGAAGCCCAACAUGACCAUCCCCAACCCCAACAGGGUCAGACUCCUCUGCUAUUCAAGGCCCCAGAAUAUUGUUUUUGCACGUUCAGGGCACUUAUUUAUGUUUUCAGUUUAGACAUCUAGGAGCAGUAUUAUUUGGGGAGGGUCUUCCUUCCCUCCUAGACAGCAAGUUCCAUGACUGUCUGCACUCACUGCUGUACCCUGGUGUCAGCCCUGCCUCGCCAAGGCUCUCAACAGAGACAUGCAGAGGGGGCCCCUGCACAAGACCCAGCUUGGCGAGGCCACACAGAGCUCACCCAAGGCCAAGUUCACGGACCAACUCCAAGCCUGGGAAAUUUAGUCAUCUACCUUUCGUGGCCUCCUCAUUAGUGUAAAUUUAAAAAAUAGCCUUAUGCCAACACCAUAAAGGUAAUUUCCUCUUGGAAAGGACACUUGCUCAUUUGCUUUAAACAGUCAUUAAUGUUCCAAAUUUCCCCUCAGAAUUUCAUGUCAAUGAUCCUAUGGGGAAUUUGAAAGUAAAACCAGACAAAUAACGAUGUGAGGAAAAUGUCAGAUGAGAACGGUGAAUGCAUUACAGACCUUCAACUGAUAUCGUUGCUGUCGGAGUUCAAGGAUUAAAUAGUCAUCAGUUUGCAGCCUUCCAUGGGAGCCCAUUUCUCCCUGACAGCAGGCAGUUGCCAGCUUGCCAAUAAAGAUUGUGUCUACAGUAAUUGAUGACUUUAUCUAAUGAGGAGAUCUCGGUCUAAAAGUCAUAAGGCUCACCCCUCAUCAGUAAAUGCAGGUCCCAGGGACUUACUCGGAAAGACUUUGCAAGAAAAGGGGCAGCCUUCUUCAAAUGAAUAAAGAUAAUCUACCUUAUGACUGCAGCCAGGAUAGGUGCUCACAGGCUAUUAAAAAGGUGCAAUAUUCAGGACCAUGCCCAGGAAACCUGGGGUAUGAGUAUAACAUCCUUAUUGAAGAAUGCCUUUUCAGACCCCAAUCUCUCGGGCUGAUAAAGUGUGAGUCCCACAUUCACACCACAUUCACACCUUCACAUGCCUUUAGGAAGGACCCCUGGGAGUUUCCCCUUGUGACGCAGUGGUAAUGAAUCCCAUCAGGAUUCAUGAGGAUGCGGGUUGGAUCCCUGGCCUCGCUCAGUGGGUUAAGGAUCUGGCAUUGCCAUGAGCUGUGGUGUAGGUCACAGACACGGCUGGGAUCCCGCAUUGCCAUGGCUGUGGCUGUGGCUGUGGCUGGUAACAUCCAUAUGCUGCAGAUGCGGUCCUAAAAAGUUGAAGAAAAAAAAAAAAAAAAAAAAAAAAAGGGAAGCUACCCUGAUACCCUGAUAUAAUGUCCACCCUUACUAUCUCCCGUGCCUGUCACAGACCUGUCUCAAAGCAGAUUAUCAAAAAACACCUGUUGAAAAAAAUGAAUGGCUUAUUUUCUACUUCCUAGGGCCCCAGGAAUAAUGGCAGUGUGGUUCUAGAAGCAGGAAACCCGGUUAGAAAGCAGUGAGAUUCCCAAGAGCACCUUAUGUAAUCCUCCCCGCCCCCCAUGGCAGAUAUAAUUAUCGCUGUUUUAAAGAUGAAGGAACAGAGAGAAGCUGGUGACGUAGUCAUCACAUAAAUGGCAUGUACCGGGCAGGGCUAGGAUGGACUUCUGGCCCCUCUAACUGCAGCAUGCCCUCUUCUGAACCCUGUUGCUGUGACAUUUCUCAGGCCAUUUUCAACAUGAGCCAGCUGCUCUUCCUACUACUCCAGCGUUUCAGCCCCCUUAUUCUGUUCUACUUUGGCUAUUCCCAUGGCACUUGUCACCUUCUAAUAUACUCUGUAAUUUACUUUCUUACCAUUUGUAUCAUCUGUCUCUCUUGCUAGAAUGUCAGUGCUACAAGCCUAGAGAUCUCUGCCCUUUUUGUUCAGGGAUGUAUUCCAGGGGCCUCCAAAGUGCUUAGUCCAUCCAGGGCACUCAAGAAGUAUUGAGGGAAGAAGAAAAGAACAAGGGAAGAGAGAAAACAAGACGAGACGUGAGCUAGUGCCUCCACCCCCGAUUCGGGGCUAUCUGGUGCCUGCUCAGUGCCCCCCAUGAAAGCAUAGACCCUCUUUGCCCCUGUCUCUGGGCUGCAAUCCUGCCAACACCAGGUGGCUAGAGAUGGGAAAACGGAAGAGGCAGCUGAGGAGUUAAGGUCUCAUGCCCCUUUGGGACAGCUCUGGGACAGAAAGGAAGGAGGAGCAGGGGGAGGCAGGGAGUUUAGGAGCUUUUUGCAGCAUGAAAGCAAUAGGACUUCAUGAGUCCUUGGUACAUUGCUCCUCACAGAUUAACUCUAGGAGUUCCCGUCGUGGAGCAGUGGUUAUCAAAUCCAACUAGGAACCCUGAGGUUGCGGGUUUGAUCCCUGGCCUUGCGCAGUGGGUUGAGGAUCUGGUGCUGCCGUGAGCUGUGGUGUAGGUUGCAGACGCUAAGGGUUGAAUCAGAGCUACAGCUGCACCAGAGCCACAGCAACACCAGAUCCGAGAAGCAUCUGUGACCUACGCCGCAGCUCACGGCAAUGCCGGAUCUUUAACCCACUGAGUGAGGCCAGGGAUUGAACCUGCAACUUCAUGGUUCCUAGUCAGAUUCGUUUCCACUGCAUCACGAUGGCAACUCCUGGGACACGAACUUCUUGAGGGAAGAGAUUUUUCUGUGUGUGUCCAUGCCUGUAUCACCAGGGCCUAAACAGUGCCUGGCACAGAGUAAGUACUCAAUAAAUAUUUGCCGAAUGAACAAAUUCAGGUGGCAAUGAAAAAUUACCACCAUAAACAGAAACAGUGCUGGCAGCUAGAGCAGGGAAAGGCUGACAUGGGUUCUGUAGCAGAGAUGCUACCCUGAGGCCGCUGUGGGAGCUGACUUUUGGGCCCCUAACUUGAGUGCAAGGCUGACUCUGCAAAUAUCCUUUCUUUGCCCAAAAUCAAGCCUGUUUCUGUCAACAGUGCCCCAGACCAAGCAUCCCAGCAUCGACUUACUGUCACAUACUUUGUAAUAUACUCCUUUUUAUUCUGAAACAAAACACAGUAAUGUAUUUUAUCAGCCCUAAACACGUGUCUUGUAUGCAGAAAGAACAGCAUUUUCCCUUUUCCCACCAGUCAUCUGCGGUGUUAAACUGCACGUAAUUAAAUUAAAAGCAUCCACGAACUCUCUGAAAUAGAAUGCUUUGAAGAAACCUCAAAUUAUUGUAAUUAAAGCUGUGGAGACCUCAUGGUAUAAUGGUGGUCAACAAAUAGCACCAGUACAAUGACAUUCUAC